RNAcentral lists this ribosomal RNA (779 nucleotides) under uncultured marine archaeon AEGEAN_63. RNAcentral describes it as "bacterial SSU rRNA". It matches the Rfam family "Archaeal small subunit ribosomal RNA", at positions 31 to 818 of the family's 1478-position model. The record is from RNAcentral. Lineage: Archaea; Methanobacteriati; Methanobacteriota.
UAUUGGAGAUUGAUUAAGCCAUGCGAGUCGAGGGCUUCGGCCCGGCGUACCGCUCAGUAACACGUGGGUAACCUGCCCUAUGGAGGGGGAUAACCUCGCGAAAGUGAGAACAAUACCCCAUAGCCCACUACGCCUGGAACGGUGAGUGGGUCAAAGCUCCGGCGCCAUAGGAUGGGCCUGCGCCGUAUCAGGUUGUAGGGGGUGUAAAGUACCCUCUAGCCAUCAACGCGUACGGGUGUUGGGAGACAUUGCCCGGAGAUGGAUUCUGAGACACGAAUCCAGACCCUACGGGGUGCAGCAGGCGCGGAAACUUGGCAAUGCGAGAAAUCGUGACCAGGGAACUCCAAGUGCGUAGGGUAAGACCUACGCUUUUCUUGACUCUUCAAAGGUCUUGGAAUAAGGGGUGGGUAAGGACGGUGCCAGCCGCCGCGGUAAUACCGGCGCCUCAAGUGGUAGUCGCUUUUAUUGGGCCUAAAACGUCCGUAGCCGGUCUGGUGCAUUCGUGGGUAAAUCAACCCGCUCAACGGGUUGAAUUCUGCGAGCACGGCCAGACUUGGGACCGGGAGAGGUGUGGGGUACUCUCAGGGUAGGGGUAAAAUCCUGUCAUCCUGAGAGGACCACCUGUUGCGAAGGCGCCACACUAGAACGGAUCCGACGGUCAGGGACGAAACCUAGGGGCACGAACCGGAUUAGAUACCCGGGUAGUCCUAGGUGUAAACGCUGUGGACUUGAUGUUGGGGGCGCUCCGAGCGCCUUCAGUGUCGAAGCGAAGGUGAUUA